Molecule: long non-coding RNA, 404 nt
Filed under: Homo sapiens (human)
Lineage: Eukaryota; Metazoa; Chordata; Mammalia; Primates; Hominidae
Description: non-protein coding lnc-DMC1-2:1
Source: RNAcentral
UUGGCCAGCUAUGUGUAUCCAUGGAGACAAGAGUCAACCAGAAAGAGAUUGGGUACUUAAUGAGUUCCGUUCUGGAAAGGCACCCAUCCUUAUUGCUACAGAUGUAGCCUCCCGUGGGCUAGGUUCUCCGGCGCUUGGCAACCAAAUGGGGCUACAGAGAAGCAUCUAAGCCAGUUCACAGAGCGAGCGUGUGUGGGGACUUCUCACUGCCACGGACCCUUGAUGCAUGCUCCCCGCGCUCCAGUGGUCCCGUGUCAGAAGGCGGAGUUUUCGAAAGGAGGCCGCCAAAAAUAAAAGGCAAAGAGACGGGAUCGGCUGCAGCGGUUUCCCAAAGGAGGAGGGAGUGUGCAUCGGUCUGGUAACAAACAGAGAAUGUUUUUUAAUUAUUUAUAUCACAAAAAUCU